This 20-nucleotide microRNA is filed under the name Medicago truncatula (barrel medic). Its description in RNAcentral is "mtr-miR167b-3p". Its record names the gene mtr-miR167b-3p. The record is from miRBase by way of RNAcentral. Lineage: Eukaryota; Viridiplantae; Streptophyta; Magnoliopsida; Fabales; Fabaceae.
GAUCAUGUUGGAGCUUCACC